RNAcentral lists this ribosomal RNA (225 nucleotides) under uncultured bacterium. RNAcentral's name for it is "partial 16S ribosomal RNA". It matches the Rfam family "Bacterial small subunit ribosomal RNA", at positions 958 to 1184 of the family's 1533-position model. The record is from RNAcentral.
AACGCGAAGAACCUUACCUACCCUUGACAUGCCAGGAAUUUUGCAGAGAUGUGAAAGUGCCGAAAGGAACCUGGACACAGGUGCUGCAUGGCUGUCGUCAGCUCGUGUUGUGAGAUGUUGGGUUAAGUCCCGUAACGAGCGCAACCCUUAUCCUUAGUUGCCAACACGUAAUGGUGGGGACUCUAAGGAGACUGCUGGUGAAGAACGUGGAAGGACGGGCGGACG